AGCAUGGAUUGCCAUUAAGGGAUUGCCUUCCCUUAAGGAGAUUUAUGGAUGCAAACAUUGCCAACAGUGCAUUGUGGAGGAGGAAACUGCAGUGUCCAUUUGCACAGGCGUUGCUAGGAGCCCUGGAAAGGAAACUCAGAGACUUGGUCGACCAGUAAUAUCCGUCCCAUCACUCGUGUUAACUAUUUCCUGGAACACAGCAGAUGCCAUUGAGGAAGUGUG
Non-coding RNA from Pelobates cultripes (western spadefoot toad), 222 nucleotides. The record is from the annotation of a GenBank genome assembly. Lineage: Eukaryota; Metazoa; Chordata; Amphibia; Anura; Pelobatidae.